RNAcentral lists this ribosomal RNA (504 nucleotides) under uncultured Sphingobacteriales bacterium. Its description in RNAcentral is "bacterial SSU rRNA". It matches the Rfam family "Bacterial small subunit ribosomal RNA", at positions 903 to 1382 of the family's 1533-position model. The record is from RNAcentral. Lineage: Bacteria; Pseudomonadati; Bacteroidota; Sphingobacteriia; Sphingobacteriales.
GCCUUGCCAGCCCGCUCAGAACUCAAAGGAAUUGACGGGGGCCCGGCACAAGCGGAGGAGCAUGUGGUUUAAUUCGAUGAUACGCGAGGAACCUUACCUGGGCUCGAACGUAAGAUGACUGUAGGUGAAAGCUUACAUCUCUUCGGAGCAUUUUACGAGGUGCUGCAUGGUUGUCGUCAGCUCGUGCCGUGAGGUGUCGGGUUAAGUCCCAUAACGAGCGCAACCCCUACCUUUAGUUGCCAUCAGGUUAAGCUGGGGACUCUAAAGGAACUGCCUACGCAAGUAGUGAGGAAGGCGGGGAUGACGUCAAAUCAGCACGGCCCUUACGUCCAGGGCUACACACGUGCUACAAUGGCCGAUACAGAGGGCAGCUACCUGGUGACAGGAUGCAAAUCUCCAAAGUCGGUCUCAGUUCGGAUCGGAGUCUGCAACCCGACUCCGUGAAGUUGGAUUCGCUAGUAAUCGCGCAUCAGCCAUGGCGCGGUGAAUACGUUCCCGGGCCUU